This 441-nucleotide ribosomal RNA is filed under the name uncultured bacterium. RNAcentral's name for it is "partial 16S ribosomal RNA". The record is from RNAcentral.
GACUACCCGGGUAUCUAAGCCCGUUCGCUCCCCACGCUUUCGUACCUUAACGUCAGGUGUGGCCCAGCAAGCUGCCUUCGCCAUUGGUGUUCCUCCCGAUAUCUACGCAUGUCACUGCUACACCGGGAAUUCCGCUUGCCUCUACCAACCUCUAGUGUUACGGUUUGAGAAACAGUCUAUAUGGUUGAGCCAUAAGAUUUCGCAUCUCACCUGUAACGCCAUCUGCGUACGCUUUACGCCCAGUAAUUCCGGAUAACGCUUGGACCCUACGUAUUACCGCGGCUGCUGGCACGUAGUUAGCCGGUCCUUAUUCUUCGUCUACAGUCAUAAUCUUCGACGACAAAAGCAGUUUACACUCCGAAAAGCGUCUUCCUGCACGCGGUAUUGCUCCAUCAGACUUUCGCCCAUUGUGGAAGAUUCCUCACUGCUGCCCCCCGUAGG